UUCCAGCACUUGAACACAUCAUGUGGAUUGCCAGAAUAUAUAUUAGUUCCUCUAGAUUGGUUGUGAUAUUUUCUGCCUCAGAAUAGUCCACUACAAUUUAGUAUAUGUUUGUUGCUUCAAACGAGUGGUAUUACGAAAUUAAAACUAGAGGAUGGUUACAGGCUUUUGAGUUCCUUUUGUUUUCUACAUCUUUGGCUUUGUACAUCCACUCUCUUGUUACCCAUUUUCUGCAGCAUUCAAUUGCAAUGUGCUCACCUUUGCUAUUCUUGGGGAAAAAAAGGAAAUGUCAUUUGAG
This 295-nucleotide unclassified non-coding RNA is filed under the name Hevea brasiliensis (rubber tree). Lineage: Eukaryota; Viridiplantae; Streptophyta; Magnoliopsida; Malpighiales; Euphorbiaceae. The record is from RNAcentral.